This 799-nucleotide long non-coding RNA is filed under the name Pan troglodytes (chimpanzee). RNAcentral's name for it is "long non-coding RNA NONPTRT017991". Lineage: Eukaryota; Metazoa; Chordata; Mammalia; Primates; Hominidae. The record is from RNAcentral.
ACGCUUUAAAGGGACAGCACGGGGCGCGCGCUUCCCGCUUAAAAGCUUUAAUCCCCGAAUUUGACUGGUGCAGGCCCUUCUAAUGCACUUCCUAAAAACUGAAGUAUAAUAAUACAUACAGGAAAGUGCUAGUGUGCCCUCGCGUUUCCACAGACAGCACGCCCUGCACACAGACUCAAGCGGCCCUCCGGGACCUGCGCAGGUGGCGUCGCCCGGCGUUGUCUCCGGAGUCGAUUCCGGCCGGGGCACCUCCCCGGGCGACCAGGCCCCUUCUUGAUCAUCGCUGGUACGGAUGAGAGCGGCAGUGGGCAUUUGGAAAGCACCUGGGGCCGCGCCCGGGCGCAGUGCCCCCGUGUGGCCUCCCACCCCGGGCGGGCAGGACGAUUCCUGCCCAUUUGGAAGACCAGGAACCUGCGCGUUCACAGGGUUCGGAAGCCCGGGCUGCGCCUUCCCGCGGGGCCGGCUGCCGGGCUGGGGGCUCUUCCCGCCUCUGCAUGCACAGAGCCCGCGGUGCACGAACCUGCUCCCCGCCAGCCCCGCGGACUGGCAGAGCCGCUCUGGAGUCACCCGCGCCCGCUCCGCAGUGCGCAAACUCACUUCGCAGCGGGCUCUCCGGGGGCCAGCCCUUCCCUCCUGGGCGGGCAUUUUCACCUCCAGGUACAAAGGGGUGGUCCCCAGAGGAGGACUCGGGGCUUAAGGAGAAGCUGAGGCCCGGUCCUCUGGCCUCAACGACUGCACAUUCUCGCCGCCUGCUUCACUUCUUAGAGCCUUGGAGAUAGAACCUUCUAGUAAAAAUGAG